Molecule: ribosomal RNA, 421 nt
Filed under: uncultured bacterium
Lineage: Bacteria
Description: bacterial SSU rRNA
Rfam family: Bacterial small subunit ribosomal RNA
Source: RNAcentral
UGGGGAAUUUUACACAAUGGGGGAAACCCUGAUGUAGCGACACCGCGUGAGCGAAGAAGCCCUUUGGGGUGUAAAGCUCUGUCAGCAGGGACGAAAAAAAUGACGGUACCUGCAGAGGAAGCAUCGGCUAACUACGUGCCAGCAGCCGCGGUAAGACGUAGGAUGUGAGCGUUGUCCGGAUUUAUUGGGCGUAAAGAGUUCGUAGGUGGUUCACUAAGUUUGGUGUAAAGACGGGGGCUCAACCCUCGGAUCGCACUGAAUACUGGUGGACUGGAGUGAGGUAGAGGCAAGCGGAAUUCCCAGUGUAGCGGUGAAAUGCGUAGAUAUUGGGAAGAACACCGGUGGCGCAAGCGGCUUGCUGGGCCUUAACUGACGCUGAGGAACGAAAGCUAGGGGAGCGAAUGGGAUUAGAUAGGUAGUC